UACGAAGGGGGCUAGCGUUGCUCGGAAUGACUGGGCGUAAAGGGCGCGUAGGCGGUUUGUACAGUCAGGUGUGAAAUUCCCGGGCUCAACCUGGGGGGCUGCACUUGAUACGUAUGGACUGGAGUGGGGGAAGAGGGUCGUGGAAUUCCCAGUGUAGCGGUGAAAUGCGUAGAUAUCCGGAGGAACACCGAUGGCGAAGGCGGCUUCCUGGACCGACACUGACGCUGAGGCGCGAAAGCUAGGGGAGCAAACGGG
RNAcentral lists this ribosomal RNA (255 nucleotides) under uncultured bacterium. RNAcentral describes it as "partial 16S ribosomal RNA". It matches the Rfam family "Bacterial small subunit ribosomal RNA", at positions 524 to 776 of the family's 1533-position model. The record is from RNAcentral.